GGUCAGCGACUUAUAUUCUGUAGCAAGGUUAACCGUAUAGGGGAGCCGUAGGGAAACCGAGUCUUAACCGGGCGUUAAGUUGCAGGGUAUAGACCCGAAACCCGGUGAUCUAGCCAUGGGCAGGUUGAAGGUUGGGUAACACUAACUGGAGGACCGAACCGACUAAUGUUGAAAAAUUAGCGGAUGACCUGUGGCUGGGGGUGAAAGGCCAAUCAAACCGGGAGAUAGCUGGUUCUCCCCGAAAGCUAUUUAGGUAGCGCCUCGUGAAUUCAUCUCCGGGGGUAGAGCACUGUUUCGGCUAGGGGGCCAUCCCGGCUUACCAACCCGAUGCAAACUGCGAAUACCGGAGAAUGUUAUCACGGGAGACACACGGCGGGUGCUAACGUCCGUCGUGAAGAGGGAAACAACCCAGACCGCCAGCUAAGGUCCCAAAGUCAUGGUUAAGUGGGAAACGAUGUGGGAAGGCCCAGACAGCCAGGAUGUUGGCUUAGAAGCAGCCAUCAUUUAAAGAAAGCGUAAUAGCUCACUGGUCGAGUCGGCCUGCGCGGAAGAUGUAACGGGGCUAAACCAUGCACCGAAGCUGCGGCAGCGACGCUUAUGCGUUGUUGGGUAGGGGAGCG
Molecule: ribosomal RNA, 620 nt
Filed under: Salmonella enterica
Lineage: Bacteria; Pseudomonadati; Pseudomonadota; Gammaproteobacteria; Enterobacterales; Enterobacteriaceae
Description: partial 23S ribosomal RNA
Rfam family: Bacterial large subunit ribosomal RNA
Source: RNAcentral